AGAGUUUGAUCCUGGCUCAGGAUGAACGCUGGCGGCGUGCUUAACACAUGCAAGUCGAACGGGGAACCCCUGACGGAGUUUUCGGACAACUGAAGGGAAUUCCUAGUGGCGGACGGGUGAGUAACGCGUGAGUAACCUGCCUGGGAGUGGGGAAUAACACACCGAAAGGUGUGCUAAUACCGCAUAAUGCAGUUGUGCCGCAUGGUACUGACUGCCAAAGAUUUAUCGCUCUUAGAUGGACUCGCGUCUGAUUAGCUAGUUGGCGGGGUAGAGGCCCACCAAGGCGACGAUCAGUAGCCGGACUGAGAGGUUGGCCGGCCACAUUGGGACUGAGACACGGCCCAGACUCCUACGGGAGGCAGCAGUGGGGAAUAUUGGGCAAUGGGCGCAAGCCUGACCCAGCAACGCCGCGUGAAGGAAGAAGGCCUUCGGGUUGUAAACUUCUUUUAUUCGGGACGAAGCAAGUGACGGUACCGAAUGAUAAGCCACGGCUAACUACGUGCCAGCAGCCGCGGU
This 516-nucleotide ribosomal RNA is filed under the name uncultured human intestinal bacterium. RNAcentral describes it as "bacterial SSU rRNA". It matches the Rfam family "Bacterial small subunit ribosomal RNA", at positions 8 to 521 of the family's 1533-position model. The record is from RNAcentral.